UACAGAGAGUGCGAACGUUGUUCGGAAUUACUGGGCUUAAAGCGCACGUAGGCGGCGCCGCAAGUGUGGAGUGAAAUCCCACGGCUUACCCGUGGAACUGCUUGGCAGACUGCGGUGCUAGAGGAUGGUAGGGGAGAGCGGAACUCCUGGUGGAGCGGUGACAUGCGUAGAUAUCAGGAGGAACACCGGUGGCGAAGGCGGCUCUCUGGUCCAUUACUGACGCUGAGGUGCGAAAGCUAGGGGAGCAAACGGG
RNAcentral lists this ribosomal RNA (253 nucleotides) under uncultured bacterium. RNAcentral describes it as "partial 16S ribosomal RNA". It matches the Rfam family "Bacterial small subunit ribosomal RNA", at positions 524 to 776 of the family's 1533-position model. The record is from RNAcentral.